CAAGUAGCGGAGCAUGUGGUUUAAUUCGAAGCAACGCGAAGAACCUUACCUAAGCUUGACAUCCCAAUGACAUCUCCUUAAUCGGAGAGUUCCCUUCGGGGACGUUGGUGACAGGUGGUGCAUGGUUGUCGUCAGCUCGUGUCGUGAGAUGUUGGGUUAAGUCCCGCAACGAGCGCAACCCUUGUCUUUAGUUGCCAUCAUUAAGUUGGGC
This 211-nucleotide ribosomal RNA is filed under the name Clostridioides difficile. RNAcentral describes it as "partial 16S ribosomal RNA". It matches the Rfam family "Bacterial small subunit ribosomal RNA", at positions 926 to 1136 of the family's 1533-position model. Lineage: Bacteria; Bacillati; Bacillota; Clostridia; Peptostreptococcales; Peptostreptococcaceae. The record is from RNAcentral.